RNAcentral lists this long non-coding RNA (1145 nucleotides) under Monodelphis domestica (gray short-tailed opossum). Its description in RNAcentral is "lncRNA (ENSMODG00000043811.1)". Lineage: Eukaryota; Metazoa; Chordata; Mammalia; Didelphimorphia; Didelphidae. The record is from RNAcentral.
AUCCGGGUCAGAGUUCCAUGGGCUUGGCGCGAUUUUCAAAUUUCCCCCGGUGGUGCGGCACGUAAUUUUUUCGUCAACAAACGGGUGAUUGUGCCUGCAGACUAGUGGGGAGAAGUGCUCUGGCUGUUGUUGGGAAUGGGGAAGACGAGCCGGUGUGCAGAAAAAGCCAAGCCGUGCUUUUGGUUUUGGGGCCGUUGUCGUGCUGUGAGGCGGUCCGCUGCCGGUCUCGGUCCUUCUCCGGAACCUCUCGGCUGGUGGGAAGUGGUCGUUGCCUCGGGCCGCGCGGCGCCUCCGGGUUGCCGCCCGGCCCCCGUCUUCCGCUCUCUCCUCUUGGUGGCGUUGGGGUCGGCCCUUGGUUUUUUUUCCCCGGGUGGCGUUCCGCUCUGGGUCCUCCAUCGCGUGAGGUUUCCUGGCCGGCUUUCCUGCCCCCACCCCCUCCUUGCCGAUCGCCUUCCCGCGAUGCCUUCCCGUGGUCGGGCUUGUACGGGGGAGCCUUUGAGUUGCCCGUGACCGACGGGCGGUCGGCUCCCGGGUGCCCCGCUCUGCUCUGGGGUGGCGAAGGAGGAGCCUCGUGCCUUCUCUGUGCGCAUCGCUGUGUGGAGAGAGCGAGAGAAAGGGAAAAGUUCCCCGGUUUGGUCGCGUUGGCCGCGGGUCGCGUGUGUGCCGUUGUUCCGAGUUCUCGGCGGGCCGCCCCCCGCCGCGUUCGUGUGGGUCUUUUCCUGCGCCGGGCCCCCGUCCCUCUGUUCUCGAAUCCCCUCCGGUUCUGUUGGCGAAAGGUGUCUUCUCCGCCAGGCGUUGAGCGCGCUCGUGUGGCUCGUGGGGGGGGCUUCGCGCCCUUCCCUCCCCCCCGCGCCUCCGCCCUUGACUGUCGUGCGGCCACCGAUCGCCCGCCGGAGAAGGAAGGGUCAGAGGGGACGUAUUUUGGGCCUGGUCGGGGCCGCUUGACCCCCGCGCGGCGGACCCUUGUGGGUCCCGUUCGCUCCUCGGCGGCGCUGCGUCCUCGAGCGCCCGCGAUCUCGGCUUUCCCGUGUUUGCCUCUCUGCCUUUCCCCGCGUGUGCCGGGGCGGCCUUUUUGCCUUCCUGCCGCUCUCUUGGGCUCGGAGUCGAGGGUGGGCCCGGUUCCGACCGUCCUCGGAGCCGUCUGA